Molecule: ribosomal RNA, 468 nt
Filed under: uncultured bacterium
Lineage: Bacteria
Description: partial 16S ribosomal RNA
Rfam family: Bacterial small subunit ribosomal RNA
Source: RNAcentral
GACGAACGCUGGCGGCGUGCUUAACACAUGCAAGUCGAACGGAAAGGCCCUGCUUUUGUGGGGUGCUCGAGUGGCGAACGGGUGAGUAACACGUGAGUAACCUGCCCUUGACUUUGGGAUAACUUCAGGAAACUGGGGCUAAUACCGGAUAGGAGCUCCUGCUGCAUGGUGGGGGUUGGAAAGUUUCGGCGGUCGGGGAUGGACUCGCGGCUUAUCAGCUUGUUGGUGGGGUAGUGGCUUACCAAGGCUUUGACGGGUAGCCGGCCUGGGAGGGUGACCGGGCACAUGGGGACUGAGAUACGGCCCAGACGCCAACGGGAGGCAGCAGUGGGGAAUAUUGCACAAUGGGCGGAAGCCUGAUGCAGCAACGCCGCGUGCGGGAUGACGGCCUUCGGGUUGUAAACCGCUUUCGCCUGUGACGAAGCGGGAGUGACGGUAAUGGGUGAAGAAGCACCGGCUAACUACGUG